Saccostrea echinata is the source of this 1076-nucleotide long non-coding RNA. RefSeq lists it as uncharacterized. NCBI's taxonomy places the organism in Eukaryota, Metazoa, Mollusca, Bivalvia, Ostreida, Ostreidae. The record is from RefSeq and is a predicted model, not a curated record. The transcript is spliced from 7 exons.
UUGUAGCCCUCUCCUGAAAAUAUCAGAUUAAAAAAAAUCGGAGAGGGCUACAUUAUUGCAGGUAAUUGAAACCAAGAUCAACAAAGUUCUAGACAUUCAACAAGUGCAGACUUGUUUUUGUUCACCUUUAUUUUCUGGAACAGCUACAUGUAUAUCUUAAUCAGAGUAAUGAAGUUCCCAAUAGUUCAUGAUGUGAGCAUGAAGGAUUAAAAAGAAGUGUUAGAUUUCUGAAGGAUGAGGGGUUGCAGUUAGACACCCUCAUUACAGACAGACACAGACAGAAUAACAAGUGGAUAAAGGAAAACCUUGAUGGAACAAACCACUUCUAUGACAUCUGGCAUGUUGCCAAGGGCACAUGGAAAAAAACUGGAUGCUUUGGCAAAGGUCAAGGAUUGUAAUGUUGGUAAAUGGAAGCAGUCCAUCACCAAUAAUAUGUAUUGGUCAGCAGGUUCUACACCAGAUAACGAUGGGGAUAUGAUUGUUGCCAAGUGGGAGUCGGUUAUCCAGCAUGUGCAAAACAUCCACACCAACCACCCAAAUGCUCUUUUCCAAAGUAAUGUCUUCAUGAUCCCCUGGAAGAAGAUGAUGAGCAGGAGAUAGAGUGGCUUAAUCCAACAAGCAAAGCCUUUGAACAAUUGGAAAAGAUUCUCUUAAACAAGACCCUCUUAAAAGACAUUUCAAGACUUUCCAGUCAGGAGUAGACAUCUUCCUUGGAGGCUUUUCAUAGCUUGAUACUCCAUUUUGCUCCCAAGAAUACAGCCUUUUCUUAUCUUGGAAUGUUAUGUCGACUCUACUUGGCUGGACUCCAUUAUGAUGAGAACUCUGAUCAUGACCAAAUGUUCAACAGACAAGGUGAAGCUUCCUUCACCAUCAGAUACCCAAAAGGAAGGAAAGGACAAGCUGUUGUACAUCCUGACAAAACUAAGCCUACUUAUGAUUACGCCAUGCAUCUCCAACAAGAAUUGGUUGAUCAAUAUAUGCAAGGGCCAAGCCAACUACCAGAUUCCAUCAGUAAUCUACGUGCUAGGGUACCCAACUGUCUGUCAGCAAAUGCAGAUCAACCGGACAAGGCAGAG